Long non-coding RNA from Hyalella azteca, 470 nucleotides. RefSeq lists it as uncharacterized. The record is from RefSeq and is a predicted model, not a curated record. NCBI's taxonomy places the organism in Eukaryota, Metazoa, Arthropoda, Malacostraca, Amphipoda, Hyalellidae. The transcript has 3 exons.
AGCCAGUGAUACUUUGCACCGAGGUCGAGGAGAAAUACCCUGUUAUUAAUCAAGAGUUGAUGCUUUCAGGGUAUAGUGCCUCUAUUCUUGUGGAAUUCAAAUAGAUUUCAUUGAGGGCUCUGCCGAGUUGUGUGCAGUAGAGACUAGGGAGGGGUGCGACUCGGGCGAAUGGUGACUUCAGUCAGCUGAAUCGCCUGCAGAGCCAGCCAUGGGCGUGGAGACAGAAGAUCCCCUAAAAAGAGUAUUGCAGUACUUACUGCACUUCUCUGCAUCAUCAUGGCCAUCCAGGGUCCUGUGACAGGACUCCAUAGACGUAGAGGACCGCCAUUAGAGCACGCAGAGCAGCGCUGUCGUUCCGUGAGCAAAUGCGAGGUGUCGUGCCUCGUGGACGGACUGGUGACGCUUCUCGCUUCCCACUAUGCCUCAGACAACGAAUAACCGAAGGCAGUCAGCGCAGCUGUGGUAUCUGA